ACUCCUACGGGAGGCAGCAGUGGGGAAUUUUGGACAAUGGGGGCAACCCUGAUCCAGCAAUGCCGCGUGAGUGAAGAAGGCCUUCGGGUUGUAAAGCUCUUUUGUCAGGGAAGAAACGGUGGUGGCGAAUAACUACUACUAAUGACGGUACCUGAAGAAUAAGCACCGGCUAACUACGUGCCAGCAGCCGCGGUAAUACGUAGGGUGCAAGCGUUAAUCGGAAUUACUGGGCGUAAAGCGUGCGCAGGCGGUUGUGUAAGUCAGAUGUGAAAUCCCCGGGCUCAACCUGGGAAUUGCAUUUGAGACUGCACGGCUAGAGUGUGUCAGAGGGGGGUAGAAUUCCACGUGUAGCAGUGAAAUGCGUAGAUAUGUGGAGGAAUACCGAUGGCGAAGGCAGCCCCCUGGGAUAACACUGACGCUCAUGCACGAAAGCGUGGGGAGCAAACAGGAUUAGAUACCCGGGUAGUCCCAUGA
This 474-nucleotide ribosomal RNA is filed under the name uncultured organism. Its description in RNAcentral is "partial 16S ribosomal RNA". It matches the Rfam family "Bacterial small subunit ribosomal RNA", at positions 335 to 800 of the family's 1533-position model. The record is from RNAcentral.